UACGGGGGGAGCAAGCGUUGUUCGGAUUUACUGGGCGUAAAGGGCGCGUAGGCGGCGUGACAAGUCACUUGUGAAAUCUCCGGGCUUAACUCGGAACGGUCAAGUGAUACUGUCGUGCUAGAGUACAGAAGGGGCAACUGGAAUUCUCGGUGUAGCGGUGAAAUGCGUAGAUAUCGAGAGGAACACCUGCGGCGAAGGCGGGUUGCUGGGCUGAUACUGACGCUGAGGCGCGGAAGCUAGGGGAGCGAACGGG
Molecule: ribosomal RNA, 253 nt
Filed under: uncultured bacterium
Lineage: Bacteria
Description: partial 16S ribosomal RNA
Rfam family: Bacterial small subunit ribosomal RNA
Source: RNAcentral